UACGUAGGGUGCGAGCGUUGUCCGGAAUUAUUGGGCGUAAAGAGCUCGUAGGCGGCCUGUCGCGUCGGAUGUGAAAGCCCGGGGCUUAACCCCGGGUCUGCAUUCGAUACGGGCAGGCUAGAGUUCGGUAGGGGAGAUCGGAAUUCCUGGUGUAGCGGUGAAAUGCGCAGAUAUCAGGAGGAACACCGGUGGCGAAGGCGGAUCUCUGGGCCGAUACUGACGCUGAGGAGCGAAAGCGUGGGGAGCGAACAGG
RNAcentral lists this ribosomal RNA (253 nucleotides) under uncultured bacterium. RNAcentral describes it as "partial 16S ribosomal RNA". It matches the Rfam family "Bacterial small subunit ribosomal RNA", at positions 524 to 776 of the family's 1533-position model. The record is from RNAcentral. RNAcentral also lists the same sequence under 1 other name.